CCUACGGGUGGCAGCAGUGAGGAAUAUUGGUCAAUGGGCGCGAGCCUGAACCAGCCAAGUAGCGUGAAGGAUGACUGCCCUACGGGUUGUAAACUUCUUUUAUAAAGGAAUAAAGUGAGGCACGUGUGCCUUUUUGUAUGUACUUUAUGAAUAAGGAUCGGCUAACUCCGUGCCAGCAGCCGCGGUAAUACGGAGGAUCCGAGCGUUAUCCGGAUUUAUUGGGUUUAAAGGGAGCGUAGAUGGGUUGUUAAGUCAGUUGUGAAAGUUUGCGGCUCAACCGUAAAAUUGCAAUUGAUACUGGCAGCCUUGAGUACAGUUGAGGUAGGCGGAAUUCGUGGUGUAGCGGUGAAAUGCUUAGAUAUUGCGCAGAACUCCGAUUGCGAAGGCAGCAUACCGGCGGCGAUCUGACGCUGAGGCACGAAAGCGUGGGUAUCAAACAGGAUUAGAUACCCUGGUAGUC
RNAcentral lists this ribosomal RNA (460 nucleotides) under uncultured bacterium. RNAcentral's name for it is "partial 16S ribosomal RNA". It matches the Rfam family "Bacterial small subunit ribosomal RNA", at positions 338 to 795 of the family's 1533-position model. The record is from RNAcentral.